Molecule: ribosomal RNA, 120 nt
Filed under: uncultured bacterium
Lineage: Bacteria
Description: partial 16S ribosomal RNA
Rfam family: Bacterial small subunit ribosomal RNA
Source: RNAcentral
GCGCCGAUGGAGCGGCCCGCGUUCGAUUAGCUGGUUGGUGGGGUAACGGCCUACCAAGGCGACGAUCGAUAGCUGGUCUCAGAGGAUGAUCAGCCAGACUGGGACUGAGACACGGCCCAG